This 133-nucleotide non-coding RNA is filed under the name Trifolium pratense (red clover). The record is from RNAcentral. Lineage: Eukaryota; Viridiplantae; Streptophyta; Magnoliopsida; Fabales; Fabaceae.
GCCGAACUGUGUAACGGCAGUUUGUAACCUAAGGAGGGGCAUUAAUGUGAUGGAACUAAUGCCUUAGCUAAGCUCUUGGGUUAGUCUAUAUUGACUUAUAUGCUGAGUUUGGGACUGUUUGGCCAUCAUAUUA